This 217-nucleotide long non-coding RNA is filed under the name Salvia miltiorrhiza (redroot sage). RNAcentral's name for it is "long non-coding RNA (SMIL_LNC002526)". Lineage: Eukaryota; Viridiplantae; Streptophyta; Magnoliopsida; Lamiales; Lamiaceae. The record is from RNAcentral.
CAAGUUGUUGGAUCAUCUUUUAUCAGCAACACAAACGAUUAAUCCAAUUCCAAUUCCAAUCAAAUCGACAUUAUAUAGAAAUAACGAAAAUAAGGAGGUUAUGAUCGUUACAUUGUGAGAGGCGUCAAAUUUGGCGAUGGCGCCGACGCCUUGCCAAACAUCACAAACUCGUGAAGCUUCAAGGCGACUGGCUUGCUUCUGCGGCAUGAUUUGGGGG